ACUCCUACGGGAGGCAGCAGUGGGGAAUAUUGCACAAUGGGCGCAAGCCUGAUGCAGCCAUGCCGCGUGUGUGAAGAAGGCCUUCGGGUUGUAAAGCACUUUCAGCGAGGAGGAAGGGUUCAGUGUUAAUAGCACUAUUCAUUGACGUUACUCGCAGAAGAAGCACCGGCUAACUCCGUGCCAGCAGCCGCGGUAAUACGGAGGGUGCAAGCGUUAAUCGGAAUUACUGGGCGUAAAGCGCACGCAGGCGGUUUGUUAAGUCAGAUGUGAAAUCCCCGCGCUUAACGUGGGAACUGCAUUUGAAACUGGCAAGCUAGAGUCUUGUAGAGGGGGGUAGAAUUCCAGGUGUAGCGGUGAAAUGCGUAGAGAUCUGGAGGAAUACCGGUGGCGAAGGCGGCCCCCUGGACAAAGACUGACGCUCAGGUGCGAAAGCGUGGGGAGCAAACAGGGUUAGAUACCCUGGUAGUCCACGCUGUAAACGAUGUCGACUUGGAGGUUGUGCCCUUGAGGCGUGGCUUCCGGAGCUAACGCGUUAAGUCGACCGCCUGGGGAGUACGGCCGCAAGGUUAAAACUCAAAUGAAUUGACGGGGGCCCCCACAAGCGGUGGAGCAUGUGG
This 617-nucleotide ribosomal RNA is filed under the name uncultured bacterium. RNAcentral describes it as "bacterial SSU rRNA". It matches the Rfam family "Bacterial small subunit ribosomal RNA", at positions 335 to 944 of the family's 1533-position model. The record is from RNAcentral.